Small nucleolar RNA from Juglans regia (Persian walnut), 108 nucleotides. RefSeq annotates it as small nucleolar RNA U3. NCBI's taxonomy places the organism in Eukaryota, Viridiplantae, Streptophyta, Magnoliopsida, Fagales, Juglandaceae. The record is from RefSeq and is a predicted model, not a curated record. The transcript has a single exon.
ACGACCUUACUUGAACAGGAUCUGUUCUAUAGGAUCGUCUGUAUCCUUGAGUUCCAAGGAGACAGGACCCUAAGUCUGGUUGAUGAGACACGACCGUGCGACCAGAGC